UCAGGGUUCGCAAGCCGGAAACUUAAAGGAACCUGACGAAACGGCUACCACAUCCAAGGAAGGCAGCAGGUCGAUUCCGGAGAAGGAGCCUGAGAAACGGCUACUACAUCCAAGGAAGGCAACAGGCGCGCAAAUUACCCAAUCUAGACAGUAGGAGGUGGUGAAGAGAAUUACUAAGUGGUGGUUCAAUGAACUACCAACUUGGAAUGGACGUAACUUAAGCAAUUCGUUGAGAAACAACUGGAGGGCAAGUCCUGGUGCCAGCAGCCGCGGUAAUUCCAGCUCCAGUAGUUUGCUUUAAAGUUGUUGCGUUUAAAACGCUCGUAGUUGGAUCACGCAACAGUGUACGGUAAUCUAUUCAUUUGGCUGGAAUUUUUCGAGUGUUCAUCGAAAGAUGACGCUCAAAGUCUAGACUGUGAUAGAUAUAAAAGCCGGCCACUGUUAAUUGCACGUGAGAUGGAUUGUUGACCUUUAGUGAGUCGGUAAUCCUGUCUUGCGGAGUGUGCCUUGAAUAAAACAGAGUGCUUAAAGCAGGUUUACGCCUGAAUGUUAUAGCAUGGAACGAACAAUAGUGUAUUAGUACAUGGUUUUCGGUAGCGAUAGAUCUAUGGUUUGUCGUUGUUGGGGACGUGUACAUCACCCACCAAAAUAUGGCUGUUGGUUCCAUAUACGGUGAUGAUUAAAAGGAGCGGUUGGGGGCAUCGGUAUUUGGCCGCGAGAGGUGAAAUUCUUGGACCGGCCAAGGACUAACAAAUGCAAAGGCACUUGUCUAGACCGUUUCCAUUAAUCAAGAACGAAAGUGGGAGGUUCGAAGACGAUCAGAUACCGUCCUAGUUCCCACGCGCAUAUAUGCCGACCUGGGAUCAGUUUAGAGAUGCUACAAGCUCUAAAUUGGUCCCCCUGGGAAACCUCAAGUUUUUCGGUUACGGGGAGAGUAUGGUCGCAAGGCUGAAACUUAAAGGAAUUGACGGAAGGGCACCACCAGGGGUGGAGCCUGCGGCUUAAUUUGACUCAACACGGGGAAACUUACCUGGUCCGGACAUCGAUAGGCUCCCUUCGGUCUAGCAAUGCUUUAUUUUUUUAAAUAACGUAUUGUAUCAUGGAUGGCCGUUCUUAGUUCAUCUGUCAGCUUAAUUGCGGUAACGAACGAGACCACAGUCUCCAUUUAAGAAACAGAAAAAGAUGAUUUACUGCCGGACUUGUCUGACAGUUAAAUUGUUGUUGGUCAAGAGUGCGAUUGCAUGAUGACGUUGCCGAGGAGCAAUCUGAAGUGGCGAAGUUGUGCGGUUGAGCUUUUGCCUUUCUGUCGAGCAGUAGCUGGUAUCUACUAGUUGCUGCCUUCUGGAGAGACAACGAGGUAUAAACAAGCUCGAGGAAGAGUGGCUAUAACAGGUCAGUGAUGCCCUUCGAUGUUCAGGGCUGCACGCGCGCUACAAUGAUAACGACAACGAGUAUCCGCGUCGAAAGACGUAGGUAAUCUUUAAUCGUUAUCGUGAUGGGGAUUGACCGUUGUAAUUAUCGGUCAUGAAAGAGGAAUCCCUAGUAUGCGUAUUUUAUUAGAAUGUGCAGAUUGAGUCCCUGCCCUUUGUACACACCGCCCGUCGCUACUACCGAGUGAAUGGUGUCAUGAUGCCCUGGGACUGGACGUCUGGCGGGAUUAACCUCUUGCAAGAUGCUAGAACGUGCGAUUCAUGCAGAUCGCGCGGAUUGCGUCCCUGCCCUUUGUACACACCGCCCGUCGCUACUACCG
RNAcentral lists this ribosomal RNA (1750 nucleotides) under Myxobolus sp. b AC-2020. RNAcentral's name for it is "SSU rRNA". It matches the Rfam family "Eukaryotic small subunit ribosomal RNA", at positions 344 to 1737 of the family's 1831-position model. Lineage: Eukaryota; Metazoa; Cnidaria; Myxozoa; Bivalvulida; Myxobolidae. The record is from RNAcentral.